This 220-nucleotide long non-coding RNA is filed under the name Elaeis guineensis (African oil palm). RNAcentral describes it as "long non-coding RNA (EGUI_LNC055110)". Lineage: Eukaryota; Viridiplantae; Streptophyta; Magnoliopsida; Arecales; Arecaceae. The record is from RNAcentral.
GAGGUAUUCCUCUAAUUCUCAAGUUGUAGAUUUAAUUUUAGAUUAAAUAUCAGAUAAUAAGAAUUAGAUCUAAUAGACCUUAGAUCUGAAAUAAAGUAGGCUAAUUUUUUUUAAAAAAUAUUUCAUCCCAGAUCUCAUUAGAUCUAGAAGAUCCUAUAAGGAAAAAGAUGAUUUUUCCUUCAGUCACGAUGCUUCAUUUUUAGCACCAUCCUUCUCCACC